This 321-nucleotide unclassified non-coding RNA is filed under the name Hevea brasiliensis (rubber tree). Lineage: Eukaryota; Viridiplantae; Streptophyta; Magnoliopsida; Malpighiales; Euphorbiaceae. The record is from RNAcentral.
CCUCCAGCCCCCUCAAGGAGGCUGUUGUAUCUAAGGAAUACAGAACAUUUUGCAUAGAUUCGUCAUCUUAGACAAAUAGCUUUUCCCUCUCAGUUUUUGUGAUUUAUGUUGGAAAAGCGGGAAGAACGCUAUUUGUGGGCACCUACCAUUUUUUUUUUAACUUCUCCCCAUUUUAUUUCUCAUUUGAGUUGUGCAUAUCCCAUUUGUGAUUAUAUGCGUAAAUCAUAUUUGAGGGCUGCAUUGUUUUGAAUGUAUGCCAUUGUUCUUUUUUAACUUUUUGAGAAUCUUGCUAAAUUGCUGAGCUAGGAAGAAAUGUGUAAC